Molecule: ribosomal RNA, 447 nt
Filed under: uncultured bacterium
Lineage: Bacteria
Description: partial 16S ribosomal RNA
Rfam family: Bacterial small subunit ribosomal RNA
Source: RNAcentral
AACGAACGCUGGCGGCAGGCUUAACACAUGCAAGUCGAGCGCCCCGCAAGGGGAGCGGCAGACGGGUGAGUAACGCGUGGGAACGUACCCUUUUCUACGGAAUAACGCAUGGAAACGUGUGCUAAUACCGCAUACGCCCUUCGGGGGAAAGAUUUAUCGGAGAAGGAUCGGCCCGCGUUGGAUUAGCUAGUUGGUGGGGUAAAGGCCUACCAAGGCGACGAUCCAUAGCUGGUCUGAGAGGAUGAUCAGCCACAUUGGGACUGAGACACGGCCCAAACUCCUACGGGAGGCAGCAGUGGGGAAUAUUGGACAACGGGCGCAAGCCUGAUCCAGCCAUGCCGCGUGAGUGAUGAAGGCCUUAGGGUUGUAAAGCUCUUUCACCGGAGAAGAUAAUGACGGUAUCCGGAGAAGAAGCCCCGGCUAACUUCGUGCCAGCCGCCGCCGUAA